This 207-nucleotide ribosomal RNA is filed under the name uncultured delta proteobacterium. RNAcentral describes it as "partial 16S ribosomal RNA". It matches the Rfam family "Bacterial small subunit ribosomal RNA", at positions 568 to 774 of the family's 1533-position model. The record is from RNAcentral. Lineage: Bacteria; Deltaproteobacteria.
CGUGUAGGCGGCCUUGCAAGUCGGGUGUGAAAGCCCUCAGCUUAACUGAGGAAGUGCGCCCGAAACUGCUCGGCUUGAGUACCGGAGAGGAUGGCGGAAUUCCCCAAGUAGAGGUGAAAUUCGUAGAUAUGGGGAGGAACACCGGUGGCGAAGGCGGCCAUCUGGACGGAUACUGACGCUGAGACGCGAAAGCGUGGGUAGCAAACA